Long non-coding RNA from Cryptomeria japonica (Japanese cedar), 798 nucleotides. RefSeq lists it as uncharacterized. Lineage: Eukaryota; Viridiplantae; Streptophyta; Pinopsida; Cupressales; Cupressaceae. The transcript is spliced from 2 exons. The record is from RefSeq and is a predicted model, not a curated record.
UGUGUAUAAAUACUCUUCAACCCUCUCACCAUUUCAACUCACCAUCAACAAUGUUAGCGAUGGCUCUUCACAAUUCUUUUGUACUCAUCGUCUUGUUGGCAUUUGUGUCAGUGUGUUUAUCGGAGAGGCCAUUGCUUAGUCCUUUCCACCACAAUAGAAAGCCAUUACCAGGAGCUCACCCACCUACGCUCCCACCGCCACUACAAAGCCCACAACCACACUUCCCUUCUCCCUUCAUUCACAAUCCCCCAUUCGAGAAGAAGUCUCCCAUGCAAGACGCUCACUCUCCUACAUUUCCAAACCCACAAUCGCCCCACCCUUCUCCCCUUAUUCCUAAGCCGCGACCUUUCCACAAAUCCCCACACUUCUCUCCUGCUAAUGCUCCUCUCUAUCACAAGCCAGGUUCCCCUAUAUUCAAUGGCCCUGGUGAAGUGCAUCCUCCCUUGAAGAAAUCUCCUCCCAAGGCAGUAAUAAAGCCCCCACCAAAGCAUGGACACUACAGUCAUCCUCCCAUGCAUAGCUCUCCUCCACCUCAUCCUACUUAUUAGACACUUUAUAGUAAGUCCGAGGAGAAUAUAUAGACCAUAAAUAAAGGAGACGUGGUUUAGAUUGCGGUGAACAAUAGUAGUAAAACUACAGGUUGAUUUCGCCGAUGAGAAUGAUGAGGGGAGACUUGAAUUAUUUUCUCGUAAAUGUUGUUAUCGGUGUGAUGCAGAAGCCGCGGCUUCUCUAUCUAUUAUUGUAAUGUUAUGUUAUGAUUAGUUCUAUAUUACAAUAUUAUUAGCAUUUCUCACACCA